AGUGAACGCUGGCGGUAGGCCUAACACAUGCAAGUCGAACGGCAGCACAGUAAGAGCUUGCUCUUACGGGUGGCGAGUGGCGGACGGGUGAGGAUACAUCGGAAUCUACUUUUUCGUGGGGGAUAACGUAGGGAAACUUACGCUAAUACCGCAUACGACCUACGGGUGAAAGCAGGGGAUCUUCGGACCUUGCGCGAUUGAAUGAGCCGAUGUCGGAUUAGCUAGUUGGCGGGGUAAAGGCCCACCAAGGCGACGAUCCGUAGCUGGUCUGAGAGGAUGAUCAGCCACACUGGAACUGAGACACGGUCCAGACUCCUACGGGAGGCAGCAGUGGGGAAUAUUGGACAAUGGGCGCAAGCCUGAUCCAGCCAUACCGCGUGGGUGAAGAAGGCCUUCGGGUUGUAAAGCCCUUUUGUUGGGAAAGAAAAGCAGCAGGUUAAUACCCCGCUGUUCUGACGGUACCCAAAGAAUAAGCACCGGCUAACUUCGUG
This 491-nucleotide ribosomal RNA is filed under the name uncultured bacterium. Its description in RNAcentral is "partial 16S ribosomal RNA". It matches the Rfam family "Bacterial small subunit ribosomal RNA", at positions 29 to 507 of the family's 1533-position model. The record is from RNAcentral.